GACGAACGCUGGCGGCGUGCCUAAUACAUGCAAGUUGAGCGCUGAAGGUUGGUCCUUGUACCAACUGGAUGAGCAGCGAACGGGUGAGUAACGCGUGGGGAAUCUGCCUUUGAGCGGGGGACAACAUUUGGAAACGAAUGCUAAUACCGCAUAAAAACUUUAAACACAAGUUUUAAGUUUGAAAGAUGCAAUUGCAUCACUCAAAGAUGAUCCCGCGUUGUAUUAGCUAGUUGGUGAGGUAAAGGCUCACCAAGGCGAUGAUACAUAGCCGACCUGAGAGGGUGAUCGGCCACAUUGGGACUGAGACACGGCCCAAACUCCUACGGGAGGCAGCAGUAGGGAAUCUUCGGCAAUGGACGAAAGUCUGACCGAGCAACGCCGCGUGAGUGAAGAAGGUUUUCGGAUCGUAAAACUCUGUUGGUAGAGAAGAACGUUGGUGAGAGUGUAAAGCUCAUCAAGUGACGGUAACUACCCAGAAAGGGACGGCUAACUACGUG
Molecule: ribosomal RNA, 497 nt
Filed under: uncultured bacterium
Lineage: Bacteria
Description: partial 16S ribosomal RNA
Rfam family: Bacterial small subunit ribosomal RNA
Source: RNAcentral